RNAcentral lists this transfer RNA (73 nucleotides) under Caerostris darwini. Its description in RNAcentral is "tRNA-Tyr". It matches the Rfam family "tRNA". Rfam says of the family: Transfer RNA (tRNA) molecules are approximately 80 nucleotides in length. Their secondary structure includes four short double-helical elements and three loops (D, anti-codon, and T loops). Further hydrogen bonds mediate the characteristic L-shaped molecular structure. tRNAs have two regions of fundamental functional importance: the anti-codon, which is responsible for specific mRNA codon recognition, and the 3' end, to which the tRNAs corresponding amino acid is attached (by aminoacyl-tRNA synthetases). tRNAs cope with the degeneracy of the genetic code in two manners: having more than one tRNA (with a specific anti-codon) for a particular amino acid; and 'wobble' base-pairing, i.e. permitting non-standard base-pairing at the 3rd anti-codon position. The record is from RNAcentral. Lineage: Eukaryota; Metazoa; Arthropoda; Arachnida; Araneae; Araneidae.
CCGUCGAUAGCUCAAUUGGCAGAGCGGUGGACUGUAAAUCCAUAGGUCGCUGAUUCGACUCCGUCUCGACGGA